GACGAACGCUGGCGGCGUGCUUAACACAUGCGAGUCGAACGGAAAGGCCCUGCUUUUGUGGGGUGCUCGAGUGGCGAACGGGUGAGUAACACGUGAGUAACCUGCCCUUGACUUUGGGAUAACUUCAGGAAACUGGGGCUAAUACCGGAUAGGAGCUCCUGCUGCAUGGUGGGGGUUGGAAAGUUUCGGCGGUUGGGGAUGGACUCGCGGCUUAUCAGCUUGUUGGGGGGGUAGUGGCUUACCAAGGCUUUGACGGGUAGCCGGCCUGAGAGGGUGACCGGCCACCUUGGGCCUGAGAUACGGCCCAGUCUCCUACGGUACGCAGCAGUGGGGAAUCUUGCACAGUGGCCGGACGCCUGUUGCAGCGACGCCGCGUGCGGAAUGCCCGCCCUCGGGUUGUAAACCGCUUUCGCCUUUGACGAACCGUGCGUGACGGUAAUGAGUCAAGAAGCACCGGCUAACUACGUG
Molecule: ribosomal RNA, 468 nt
Filed under: uncultured bacterium
Lineage: Bacteria
Description: partial 16S ribosomal RNA
Rfam family: Bacterial small subunit ribosomal RNA
Source: RNAcentral